This is an unclassified non-coding RNA of Chelonoidis abingdonii (Abingdon island giant tortoise), 183 nucleotides long. The record is from Ensembl. Lineage: Eukaryota; Metazoa; Chordata; Testudines; Testudinidae.
UUGAUAACCCUGGUGGCUGGAGACUUUUAUUUAUCCAUAAAAUAGUCCAACAUGGGCAACUGUAGAACAGCUUCUCCAUGCUGCUCUGCCAAUGUGUCUCAACCCUGCCCUGGCAGGACCACCCUUGGAAUCCAGUGGCAACAUUUUGUGCUGUUGGCCCAAAGCUUCAAAUCCUCAUCCAAG